RNAcentral lists this ribosomal RNA (845 nucleotides) under uncultured Kordia sp. RNAcentral describes it as "bacterial SSU rRNA". It matches the Rfam family "Bacterial small subunit ribosomal RNA", at positions 22 to 863 of the family's 1533-position model. The record is from RNAcentral. Lineage: Bacteria; Pseudomonadati; Bacteroidota; Flavobacteriia; Flavobacteriales; Flavobacteriaceae.
GCUCAGGAUGAACGCUAGCGGCAGGCUUAACACAUGCAAGUCGAGGGGUAACAGAGGUAGCUUGCUACUUGCUGACGACCGGCGCACGGGUGCGUAACGCGUAUGAAACCUACCUUAUACAGGGAGAUAGCCCAGAGAAAUUUGGAUUAAUACCCCAUGGUACUGUGAUCUUGCAUGAGAUUAUAGUUAAAGAUUUAUCGGUAUAAGAUGGUCAUGCGUUCUAUUAGUUAGUUGGUAAGGUAACGGCUUACCAAGACCGCGAUAGAUAGGGGCCCUGAGAGGGGGAUCCCCCACACUGGUACUGAGACACGGACCAGACUCCUACGGGAGGCAGCAGUGAGGAAUAUUGGACAAUGGUGGCAACACUGAUCCAGCCAUGCCGCGUGUAGGAAGACUGCCCUAUGGGUUGUAAACUACUUUUAUAGAGGAAGAAACGCAGAUACGUGUAUUUGUUUGACGGUACUCUACGAAUAAGGAUCGGCUAACUCCGUGCCAGCAGCCGCGGUAAUACGGAGGAUCCAAGCGUUAUCCGGAAUCAUUGGGUUUAAAGGGUCCGCAGGCGGUUGUUUAAGUCAGAGGUGAAAGUUUGCAGCUCAACUGUAAAAUUGCCUUUGAUACUGAAUAACUUGAGUUAUAAUGAAGUGGUUAGAAUAUGUAGUGUAGCGGUGAAAUGCAUAGAUAUUACAUAGAAUACCGAUUGCGAAGGCAGAUCACUAAUUAUAUACUGACGCUGAGGGACGAAAGCGUGGGGAGCGAACAGGAUUAGAUACCCUGGUAGUCCACGCCGUAAACGAUGGUUACUAGCUGUUUGGACUUCGGUCUGAGUGGCUAAGCGAAAGUGAUAA